GUGCUAGUGGAUCAACGACGUCUAGAAAGCCGUUUCUCGGGGCCUCUAUUAUCGCGGAUGUGUCGCGGGCAUCCGCGGCCGCACAGAUCAAUGUUACUGCGUUUCAUUAGACCUUAUAUUGUACAACUGACAGUGCAGCGUGGAUUAAUUCUUUUUUUUUUUAAUAAGGCUCUACUGCAUUGCGCAGCUUGUAAAACAUUUAUAAUAACUAGUUGUGCUCAAUUUAUUUUUAGACCUAGUGUCGUAUCUCAUUCCGGUACAUGUUGCUCACCGAUAUUCAGACAGACAAAACUAGGAGACUGAACGGAUGGUAAGCGGAAAUCGUUGAAGGGAGCCGCCCUGACUGCCUCCGUUGCGAAAUGGCGAUUGUCUUGUUUGCUUUGUAACACAAGUUUCUCAUUAAAUUCAGAUGAGAGGGUCAAAAUUAAGGGAAUGCUGUCAAGCCGCUGCCCCAAAACUGACUUGAAACAUGAGGUGUUGGAUAUAUUUAAUGGUUCAUUUUAAAUAUAGUAAAACACCGUGCAAAUUGUUCCACCAGAGUUAAAAACUGAGCAAGCUACCACCAAAGUGCUGCGUACGAAUCGCAGCAGUGCCUCGCAAACUGCCCUCCAGCGUGUGCUAGUAUUCUGUGCUUCAGCGCGACUAGCAAGAUGUCGGCGUCCAAGCUCCCAGGGCCGAAGUGCUGAAGAUGCCAGAGUGGUCUUCACCAACUCUCAAGCAGCGGUACGCAACUACAUGAAGGGCAGGAUCUCCAUCAAAGCGAUAAACAUACUGAAACGUGGCGACACUCCUCCCCCCUACACCUGCAUCAUGUGGGUUGCGGGACACGAGGUACUCGAGGAGAAUGAAGCGGCACACACCGCGGCCCGCGCAAGCGUCAACCGGGCCUCCCCGCACGAGAUUCUAGACAUGUCCCACCCACCCAAAUCAACGGAGGAAACGGAAACAAUACCGCUAACCUACCAAAUACUACUGCAGCACUAUCGGCUUGGACUCAGGGUAUACCCUCCGCCUUAUCCAAAACUAACGAGAAACGAAGGCACCGACUACAGGCGACUCCAGAGCAAUACCUUUACCCACGGAAGCUUACUGCAUCAUUUCCACCCGACGCUAUACAGCUACACCUGUCCGCACUGCAACGUGCCAGACACCCUGGCGCACCUCCUACUGCAAUGCAAGAACACCCGAGCAAGCAUCACAGCGACACAACUAGUAGCAACAGACGCAGACCCAAACCUCGUCGCUGAAACGUAGGAGGCUGCGAUCUCCAAGCCGGACCUGGUCGACCAGCGUGAACUCGUCGCCCGGGCCCGGAGGGCGAUCCAAGCCAGAUGGUUCCUGGAAUGAGGGACCCUCCCACCUCGACUGACAAGUCACUGCUUCAAAUAAAGGUUCAUUCUCUCUCUC
Dermacentor andersoni is the source of this 1407-nucleotide long non-coding RNA. RefSeq lists it as uncharacterized. The record is from RefSeq and is a predicted model, not a curated record. Lineage: Eukaryota; Metazoa; Arthropoda; Arachnida; Ixodida; Ixodidae.